RNAcentral lists this long non-coding RNA (707 nucleotides) under Pan troglodytes (chimpanzee). RNAcentral's name for it is "long non-coding RNA NONPTRT008858". Lineage: Eukaryota; Metazoa; Chordata; Mammalia; Primates; Hominidae. The record is from RNAcentral.
CAGUGCUUUAGAGUUCUGGCUCAUUUAGAUUGAAAACACAGACUUUUUAUAACUACUAUUGUAAGCUUAAUUUUCAGAACUUGAAGAGAGAGAACAACAACAAAAAACAAACUGCGCUAGCCAGGUGCAACGGCGCAUGCCUGUAGUCCCAGCUACUUGGGAGGCUGAGGCAGGCAGGAGUUCAAGGCUGCAGUGAGCUGUCUGUGCCACGGCACUCCAACCUGGGCAAAAGAGGAGACCUCAUCUAAAGAAGAAUCCACCAAAAACCCUGUGUUUUAAAGUGCAAACUGAUGAUGGAGGAAUGGGUGGAAGCAAUUACAGUAUGACCUGCAUUAAAGACAUGUACAGUUUUUUGGCCGGCUGCAGUGGCUCACACCUGUGAUCUCAACACUUUGGGAAGCUGAGACGGGAGGAUUGCUUGAGCCCAGGAGUUUGAGACCAGCUUGGGCAACGUGAUGAAACCCUGUCUCUACAAAUAAAAAAAAAAAUUAGCCAGGCAUGGUGGCACAAGCCUGUGGUCCCAGCUACUCAGAAGGCUGAGGUGGGAGUAUUGAUCGAGCCCAGGAGGUCAAGGCUGCAGCAAGCUGUCGCACCACUGCACUCUAGCCUGGGCAACAGCAAGACCCUCGUCUCAAAAAAGAAAAAAAAAAGUACAAUUUUUGUAUUGAUUAUGUAUUCCUUAAGUAGGAGUGGAAUAAAAGUAUUUU